Long non-coding RNA from Dama dama (fallow deer), 2042 nucleotides. RefSeq lists it as uncharacterized. NCBI's taxonomy places the organism in Eukaryota, Metazoa, Chordata, Mammalia, Artiodactyla, Cervidae. The transcript has 3 exons. The record is from RefSeq and is a predicted model, not a curated record.
AAGGGACAGCCUCGGUCUUUCUACUUCCUUUUGGAAGUCAGGGCAAGGUGUCUAUUAAAUGAGCAUUUCUUGUUUGCUGGUCUAAGGACGCUCCCAGGCUGCGUGUCUCCUUCCUUUCUGGGGUGCUGCUGGGUUUCUAAGAAAAGACAGGUUGCCCAAACAGCAGCUGUGUUUUCACCCACAGGGUUGGGACUCCAGGUCCAGUAGGAUUGCCUCACGGAAGAGAACAUUGGGUCACUGCAGGAAACAUUUUUUUUUUUCCCUCCAGGGUGGUAUAACUGGAAGUCAUUUGAUCUCUGCAUAUUCUUACAUUGACAGUCAUGAGUCAGUUUUAUACUUAGGAAAAAUGAAGUACAGAAAGAAUGAGCAAUUUGACCACACUUUCUCUUUUCUUUGCAGGCACAGGAUGGUGAGAUUCAGAAGGUGUGACUUGUAUAAGGUAACCCCAGUCUCCUCCCCUUCUUUGAAUCUCUCUCCCCCUCCAGCCCACCCAGAGAAACUUUCCUAUGGAUCUUCAAUAGACAAGAGCAGUGGAAAGAAACUGGACGUGGGUGAUCAAAAAGCUAGCUGCAACCUGGAGAUGAGACAGAAAGCCCCUCAAAGCAUACUGCAUACAUUAAAGCAGCUGAGAAAGAAAAAAAAAAUCAGCAAGUGUUUUUAACAUAAAGCUCUAGAGCCUACGUUUCCUGUGUCGCGUUGAGGACGCUCAGUUGCCUGUCUUACCCACGGACCUUAGAUCCUGGCGGAGGGUCCGAGUUGGACUCGCAAAAGAUCAUACCAGUCAAUCCUAAAGGAAAUCAAUCCUGAAUAUUCAUUGGAAGGACUGAUGAUGAAGCUGAAGCUCUAAUACUUUGGCCACCUGAUGCAAAGAACUGACUCAUUGGGAAAGACCCUGAUACUGGGAAAGAUUGAAGGCAGGAAAAGGGGAUGACAGGACGAGAUGGUUGGAUGACGUCACAGACUCAAUGGACAUGAGUUUGAACAAGCUCUGGGAGAUGGUGAAGGACAGGGAAGCCUGGUGUGCUGCAGUCCAUGGGGUCACAAAGAGUUGGACACAACUGAGCAACUGAACAACAACAAUAUAUGUGCAUUUGUAUUCUGCCUUUUCCCCCAUUUCACGUGAUAUUACAAAAAUUGUCAACUUAAUUGAAAGUACCAUUUUAAAUGGCUACAAAGUAUUCUAUGAGGUCAUUAUAAAAUAGCUCAUAUAACCAUUUCCUUUUUUAAAAAAUGUGUUUAUAUGAUUUCAUUGCUUUUGCUAUGGUAAAUAACACUGACAUGAACAUCUUGGGGCACAAAGAUUUUUUUCUGUGUUUAGGAUUAUUUCCUUAGCAUAGAGUCUCAGAAGGGAAAUUAUUGAGUCAGAGGCAUUGAAGGCAUUGAUGUUUAUUGCUAAAGUACUAGCCCGGAGAAGAUGUUGCUGUGAUUUAGACUGCCCUCAAUAUAUAUAACAGUGUCAGAACUGGGUGUAUUGUCAUUCUAAGAAAAGCUUUGCCUGAAUCUGCAUUUCUUUGAUUAACAGUGGGGACAAAUCUAAUAAUUAUACAAACCAUGGCAGCAUGUCUUAAUUGAUAUGCCAAUUUAAAAAAAGCAGAUACUACAUCAUUGGUGCAUUUUCCUCCAGGAGCCCAAGAAAGACUGAAUGAGGGCAUUUUCUGGUGAGGAUAGGAGAAUCAAGUGUCCUGAACAGCCUCAAUAAAACAGCUGAUAAGGGGAUUUGCAGAUAAGGCAGAAGGACAUAUGGCUGGACUAUUACUCUGUAGCUCAUAUUUUAAGCCUUAUCAGAAUAGAGAGGCCUACUCCCCUGUGAAUGACGGCUACAUUGGACAGUGCAAGGAAAAAAUCCACACACUGCAGGUAGACAGUCAGAGCUGCUGGAAGCAUGUGUGGUGGGACUUAAGAUGGAAAAUGCUGCGAUUGGAGAAGCCUUAGUGAACUCUGGGAGGUUAAGAGUCUUCAAACAUUUUGUUUUAGUUUGAUUUACUUGGGGAAUAUUUGGGGGCUUCCUAGGUGGCGCUAGUGGUAAAGAACCCACUUGCCAG